CAAAGUCCAAAUCGAUGGUUCAAGAAUCGCCAUGGCCGACGGAAGUCCGGAGAGCGUCAACCAAACUCCGCACAAAUUCUUCAACUUUUGCAUCAGGAAAGAAGGAAGAAAUCGUUCUCUCCCUAAUCGCUUCGUGGUUGUCUUCCAUCAGAUACCUCUAAUCUUGAUUGAUCUUUACUUCUUCUGAAAUCGUUCCCAUGGCGUUCUUUAUUUGUCGCAGGGUUUUGAUUUCUUUUCUUGUUUUGCUUCGAAAUCUUUCACCCUUGUUGAACCGAAAAGCUCGUUUCUUUUUUGCUUUUCUUUCCAUGUUUCGAGGCACAGGCGAUUCCCAUGCUUCGGUUUAGCUUACCGAGAUUAAAGAUCUCUUUGAUCGGGCAUUCUUGAGCCCUUGUAUCCUAAUUUUUCAAGCUUUGGGUAUUCUCCUGGCGUCUGGUUGGCCGAGAUUUUGUUAUGCGCUCGUUCGCUUGAACAUUCUUUAGGCGUUGGUUCAAUGGAAAUUGAGAUCAAUCACUUGUCAUGGCUUCUGUUGACCUUUAGUUAGUGUUCCUAUUUGUUGAUGCUGGAUGCUUCCUCGUAAAUCUUGAAGUACUGCUUCGUGGCCUGUAGUCAGCCUUGAAAUCCAAGUCAGAGAUCGGCUAUUUAGAACGAACCCUAGAUAUGGAGGCAAAGUGUCCUGAGUGAUAUAACAUCCGAUUGUUCUUUGUUCAGUUUGCAACUAUACGAAAUAAUGUAUUCUCUCUUUUUAAAGAAACUGAUUAUAUUAAAACCAAAAGAUUUUUUGGUUGACAGUUUUGUAUCGGUUUCAUGAUUCCUUCCCAGAUGGAACCUAGUCAUCGACUUAUUACUAUGUAUGAGAUCAUGCGGCAAUGACUCUUAAUGAUUGUUGUAGUGAUGAAAUAUAUUAUGAAGUUGUAUGUUAAAAAACAUUGUUUCCUGAGUCACCGCAACAUUUGAUGAAUACCGAGUUUCUUUCAUGGAUUACAUUUAUUGUAUUUAAAAGCAUUGUUUUGAUUUAGUUAUAUAGUUUUUUAUGAUCCAGGAUCUCAUAAAAAAAUGCUCCCAUCCUGCCCUUUUUGUCAUAUAAGCGUUCCUUCAGCAGAGUUGGAGAGGCAUGCAAACAAUCAUUUUGUGGAGGAUGAACUUGAAAGCGACAUGGAAUUGGCUAUACAAAUUGCACUAGCACCCCCAAGUCCUGAAUUAAUGCUGCCUUGGAAAGGUCUCUUGCCGAUAAUAAUGGCUGGCAGAAGCUGAUCAAAAGAGGAACCCACACACUGAAAAAGCCCCAAUAUCAGUUAUGUUAUGUUGAUCCUGGGAUUGCCCAUGGAGUGGAGAUGGAGCAGCUCAAGAUUAUCGACAGCAUAUUAGUUGAACUAUAAGAAAUCAGGUAUAUAUAUUUCUGGUGAUCCUCGAAGGAACUCACUUCUACUCUUUGUAUAUUGGUUUACAAAAUAAAUAUGAACAGGGGGGGGGACAUGCAUCACAUGAAGUAACAACUCCUUGAGCUUUACUGUAACGACUACUUUGUACCUAAAUUCCAUUUUUGUUUUUUAGUUUCCUUGGGAACCGUGACGUCAGGGCAACUAUAGCAUUAAACAUCGUGCAAAGUUAAUCAUAACUUGUUGUUUUGAUGGCUCAAUAGCGAGCGGGUCAACUACAUCCCGAGCCUAUAAAAUUCCCAAUCAAAUGAAUUCUUCCGUUCGAUUUGUUAUAGCGGUGGACCCCGCUGUUCGUCCGCUCCCAUUGCCUUAUUAUUACCUAUUUCUUUAAUUUACCACCACGAACGCCGCCCCUCUUGUUUUUGUGCCUUUGCGGCCGAUAAUAAGGGUUCGGCAUCGGCGAACGGUUCUUUGCUCGCCCUUUCUUUGGUUGUAGCUUUUCUUUCCGCUCUCUCUCUCUCUCUCUCUCUCUCUCUCUCUCUCUCUUAGGUUUGAGCGCCUGUUCUCUCCCGGUGACGGCAAGAUGCAUCAACAAUCCUUCACCGUCGACGGCUUCUUCUUGAUCGGUAUUAAUUUAAUCUACCCCCAGUCUCCUCCAUGCCCCCCCUUUGCCCUUCUCUCUGUCCCUCUCCCACCGGCGAUUCGGCUAUUUCGUUCGUCCGUUCCUACUUCUUGAAUGUUUCUUUUAUUUUAUUGAUCGAUUCUUCCGGCAGCGGCGAGAUGCUUCAUGGAUUCGCCAGGCUCGGUGACUUCUUCUUGAACGGUAUCGAUUUAAUUCGACCCCUAAUCCCUGGGAUGAUAUCUUUCUCCCUCCUUUCCCCUUUUCUUGCUUGCUCUCCCUCUCGAUUCAGUUAUGUCGUGAUCUGUUCCAUCUUCUUGGGUUUUAUUGACCGACCGAUCAAUCGAUUGAUGCCAUCUUCUUGUCGUUGGGAAGCAGUGAAGGAAGGGGUGGAUGAGAUGAUCAAGUUGUUGGCCAACGAGCCCUCCGUGGGGCUUUUCUUUGUCGAACAGCACGCCCGAACCUCCAUGCCCUACCUCCUCGGCCUCAAGGUAUGUGUGUCUUCGUCUCCGCCACUAAUUCCUCCAACCAUAAUCUGAAAUUUUCUGGCAUUAGCAAAUUGGAUUUCCUAGAAAACAAUGUUGUUGAAGGACGGGGAAUUGAGCCGGGUUAUUCCUUUCUUGAUGAGGUUUUCUUGAUUCCUACACCUAAAUGUUCAAAAAGGAGUUGUCAUGAUGUGGCUAGACAGAACGAUUACCAUAACAUUAUCGCAAGCUUUAGCUUGCAUGGCGAGGAUGUUUGGCAGUUGAAUCUUUUCGUUUUCAUUGUUCAUCUAUUGCAUUAUAUUUUUUCUCCAAGGUUUGGUGUGUGGUGCAGCUACCUAUCUUGCACUGAAUUCAUCAUUCUUUGAUCUUUGUGUUACUUCCUAGAACACUUUCUACGAGCAACAAAGUCAUAACAUCCUAGCCCAAAAUGAUUUCAGAGAAAGGAAAUUUAUGGAGGAAGACCUUCCAUCAUUGGAAUGGAACAGUAUAUUUAAUGAUGGUUUUUUGGCAUAGGUUGGGGAAAAGAUUCAUGAAGUAACCCUGCAUACGGAGGACAUAGAGGAUUCUAUCUGUUCAGUGAGGUCAAUGACAGAAUACGGCACUCCUAUUGUUGAGGAGAUGGUUAAGGACCUUAAUAAAUCUCUACUUGUCA
RNA transcript from Musa acuminata AAA Group (dessert banana), 3132 nucleotides. RefSeq lists it as uncharacterized. NCBI's taxonomy places the organism in Eukaryota, Viridiplantae, Streptophyta, Magnoliopsida, Zingiberales, Musaceae. The record is from RefSeq and is a predicted model, not a curated record. The transcript is spliced from 7 exons.